UCCGUAGGUGAACCUGCGGAAGGAUCAUUAUCGUUGGGGCUUCGGCCCCGUCGAGAUAGUACCCUUGCCUUUUAUUAGCGUACCUGUUUGUUUCCUCGGUGGGCUCGCCCGCCAAUGGGGACCAAAACUUAACUCUUGUAAUAUCUGUCUCAGUCUGAACUAAAUUUUAAUUUAAAACUUUCAACAACGGAUCUCUUGGUUCUGGCAUCGAUGAAGAACGCAGCGAAAUGCGAUAAGUAGUGUGAAUUGCAGAUUUCAGUGAAUCAUCGAAUCUUUGAACGCACAUUGCGCCCUUUGGUAUUCCUUAGGGCAUGCCUGUUCGAGCGUCAUUUACACCUUCAAGCUCAGCUUGGUGUUGGGCGUCUGUCCCGCGGCCCUUGCGGCCUGGGACUCGCCUCAAAUCUAUUGGCGGCCGGUACCGUGGCUUCGAGCGCAGCAAAUUAGCGACCUCAUCGCCUUUCGGUAGCUGGCUCCCAGAAGCCAUCUUUCAUGUUUUGACCUCGGAUCAGGUAGGGAUACCCGCUGAACUUAAGCAUAUCAAUAACGGCGGAAGGUAUCGACUGCCAAGGGCACACAGGGGGGGGGGAUA
Molecule: ribosomal RNA, 589 nt
Filed under: uncultured fungus
Lineage: Eukaryota; Fungi
Description: eukaryotic LSU rRNA
Rfam family: 5.8S ribosomal RNA (bases 176-329)
Source: RNAcentral